ACGGGAGGCAGCAGUGGGGAAUAUUGCACAAUGGGGGAAACCCUGAUGCAGCGACGCCGCGUGAGUGAAGAAGUAUUUCGGUAUGUAAAGCUCUAUCAGCAGGAAAGAAAAUGACGGUACCUGACUAAGAAGCCCCGGCUAACUACGUGCCAGCAGCCGCGGUAAUACGUAGGGGGCAAGCGUUAUCCGGAUUUACUGGGUGUAAAGGGAGCGUAGACGGUAAGGCAAGUCUGAAGUGAAAUGCCAGGGUUCAACCCUGGAACUGCUUUGGAAACUGUCCUACUAGAGUGCAGGAGAGGUAAGUGGAAUUCCUAGUGUAGCGGUGAAAUGCGUAGAUAUUAGGAGGAACACCAGUGGCGAAGGCGGCUUACUGGACUGUAACUGACGUUGAGGCUCGAAAGCGUGGGGAGCAAACAGGAUUAGAUACCCUGGUA
This 434-nucleotide ribosomal RNA is filed under the name uncultured Lachnospiraceae bacterium. RNAcentral describes it as "partial 16S ribosomal RNA". It matches the Rfam family "Bacterial small subunit ribosomal RNA", at positions 341 to 792 of the family's 1533-position model. Lineage: Bacteria; Bacillati; Bacillota; Clostridia; Lachnospirales; Lachnospiraceae. The record is from RNAcentral.